This 501-nucleotide ribosomal RNA is filed under the name uncultured bacterium. RNAcentral describes it as "partial 16S ribosomal RNA". It matches the Rfam family "Bacterial small subunit ribosomal RNA", at positions 30 to 523 of the family's 1533-position model. The record is from RNAcentral.
AUUGAACGCUGGCGGCAGGCUUAACACAUGCAAGUCGAGCGGGGGGAGGUAGCUUGCUACCGGACCUAGCGGCGGACGGGUGAGUAAUGCUUAGGAAUCUGCCUAUUAGUGGGGGACAACAUCUCGAAAGGGAUGCUAAUACCGCAUACGUCCUACGGGAGAAAGCAGGGGAUCUUCGGACCUUGCGCUAAUAGAUGAGCCUACGUCGGAUUAGCUAGGUGGUGGGGUAAAGGCCUACCAAGGCGACGAUCUGUAGCGGGUCUGAGAGGAUGAUCCGCCACACUGGGACUGAGACACGGCCCAGACUCCUACGGGAGGCAGCAGUGGGGAAUAUUGGACAAUGGGGGGAACCCUGAUCCAGCCAUGCCGCGUGUGUGAAGAAGGCCUUAUGGUUGUAAAGCACUUUAAGCGAGGAGGAGGCUACUCUAGUUAAUACCUAGGGAUAGUGGACGUUACUCGCAGAAUAAGCACCGGCUAACUCUGUGCCAGCCGCCGCUGUAA